Eriocheir sinensis (Chinese mitten crab) is the source of this 231-nucleotide long non-coding RNA. RefSeq lists it as uncharacterized. The record is from RefSeq and is a predicted model, not a curated record. The transcript is spliced from 2 exons. Lineage: Eukaryota; Metazoa; Arthropoda; Malacostraca; Decapoda; Varunidae.
GGUGUCUAAUACUUUCACGAAAAAAAAAAGAUGAGAAAAACACUUAUGGGGUUUAAAAUUCAUUCUUUACAUCCACAAAAAAAGAAAAAAUACUAAAAUAUCUUAAGGUUUCUAAUACUCACGAAAAAAAAAAGAUCAGAAAAACACUUACGGGGGUUUAAAAUUCAUUCUUUACAUCCACAAAAAAAGAAAAAAUACUAAAAUAUCUUAAGGUUUCUAAUACUCUCACGA